Molecule: transfer RNA, 123 nt
Filed under: Candidatus Burkholderia humilis
Lineage: Bacteria; Pseudomonadati; Pseudomonadota; Betaproteobacteria; Burkholderiales; Burkholderiaceae
Description: tRNA-Ala
Source: RNAcentral
GUCCUGCUCGCGGAUCGUGUGCGCGAUUUCCUCGCCGAAAAUGUCCUCGUAGCAGAUAUCGACGGCGAUCGGCUGAUUCUUCACGAAGAACGCUUUCUGCGCGAUCGGACCGCGCGCGAGAUC